Molecule: ribosomal RNA, 253 nt
Filed under: uncultured bacterium
Lineage: Bacteria
Description: partial 16S ribosomal RNA
Rfam family: Bacterial small subunit ribosomal RNA
Source: RNAcentral
UACAGAGGUCUCAAGCGUUGUUCGGAUUCAUUGGGCGUAAAGGGUGCGUAGGCGGCUCGGUAAGUCGGGUGUGAAAUCUCGGAGCUUAACUCCGAAGCUGCAUUCGAUACUGCCGUGCUUGAGGACUGGAGAGGAGACUGGAAUUUACGGUGUAGCGGUGAAAUGCGUAGAUAUCGUAAGGAAGACCAGUGGCGAAGGCGAGUCUCUGGACAGUUACUGACGCUGAGGCACGAAGGCCAGGGGAGCAAACGGG